AUUGGGGGAAGGCUAAACAUGCAAGUCGAACGGGAAGGGUAGCAAUACCCCGAGAGUGGCGCACGGGUGAGUAACGCGUAUGCAACCUGCCUUUAACUGAGGGAUAGCCCAUAGAAAUGUGGAUUAAUACCUCAUAGUCCUUUUGAACCGCAUGGUUUAAAAGGUAAAGCCUUGGCGGUUAAAGAUGGGCAUGCGUGACAUUAGCUGGUUGGUGAGGUAACGGCUCACCAAGGCGACGAUGUCUAGGGGUUCUGAGAGGAUGAUCCCCCACACUGGUACUGAGACACGGACCAGACUCCUACGGGAGGCAGCAGUGAGGAAUAUUGGUCAAUGGGCGCAAGCCUGAACCAGCCAUCCCGCGUGCAGGAUGAAGGCCCUAUGGGUUGUAAACUGCUUUUGUACACCAAGAAAAUACAGGACGUGUCCUGCACUGACGGUAGUGUAUGAAUAAGCAUCGGCUAACUCCGUGCCAGCAGCCGCGGUAAUACGGAGGAUGCAAGCGUUAUCCGGAUUCAUUGGGUUUAAAGGGUGCGUAGGCGGCCUUUUAAGUCAGUGGUGAAAUCCUGCCGCUUAACGGUAGAAUUGCCAUUGAUACUGAAAGGCUUGAGUUCAGUUGAGGUAAGCGGAAUGUGUAGUGUAGCGGUGAAAUGCUUAGAUAUUACACUGAACACCAAUUGCGAAGGCAGCUUACUAAACUGACACUGACGCUGAUGCACGAAAGCGUGGGGAGCGAACAGGAUUAGAUACCCUGGUAGUCCACGCCGUAAACGAUGUUCACUCGCUGUUUGCGAUACACAGCAAGCGGCCAAGCGAAAGCAUUAAGUGACCACCUGGGGGAGUACGAUCGCAAGGGUUGAAACUCAAAGGAAAUUGACCGCGC
This 880-nucleotide ribosomal RNA is filed under the name uncultured soil bacterium. RNAcentral describes it as "bacterial SSU rRNA". It matches the Rfam family "Bacterial small subunit ribosomal RNA", at positions 35 to 919 of the family's 1533-position model. The record is from RNAcentral.